RNAcentral lists this ribosomal RNA (1220 nucleotides) under Brachybacterium paraconglomeratum. RNAcentral's name for it is "bacterial SSU rRNA". It matches the Rfam family "Bacterial small subunit ribosomal RNA", at positions 60 to 1290 of the family's 1533-position model. Lineage: Bacteria; Bacillati; Actinomycetota; Actinomycetes; Micrococcales; Dermabacteraceae. The record is from RNAcentral.
AGUCGAACGAUGACGGUGGUGCUUGCACCGCCUGAUUAGUGGCGAACGGGUGAGUAACACGUGAGUAACCUGCCCUCCACUUCGGGAUAACCUCGGGAAAUCGUGGCUAAUACCGGAUAUGAGCACUCAUCGCAUGGUGGGUGUUGGAAAGAUUUAUCGGUGGGGGAUGGACUCGCGGCCUAUCAGUUUGUUGGUGAGGUGAUGGCUCACCAAGACGAUGACGGGUAGCCGGCCUGAGAGGGCGACCGGCCACACUGGGACUGAGACACGGCCCAGACUCCUACGGGAGGCAGCAGUGGGGAAUAUUGCACAAUGGGCGAAAGCCUGAUGCAGCGACGCCGCGUGGGGGAUGACGGCCUUCGGGUUGUAAACCCCUUUCAGUAGGGAAGAAGCGAGAGUGACGGUACCUGCAGAAGAAGCGCCGGCUAACUACGUGCCAGCAGCCGCGGUAAUACGUAGGGCGCAAGCGUUGUCCGGAAUUAUUGGGCGUAAAGAGCUUGUAGGUGGCUUGUCGCGUCUGCCGUGAAAACCCGAGGCUCAACCUCGGGCGUGCGGUGGGUACGGGCAGGCUAGAGUGUGGUAGGGGAGACUGGAACUCCUGGUGUAGCGGUGAAAUGCGCAGAUAUCAGGAAGAACACCGAUGGCGAAGGCAGGUCUCUGGGCCAUUACUGACACUGAGAAGCGAAAGCAUGGGUAGCGAACAGGAUUAGAUACCCUGGUAGUCCAUGCCGUAAACGUUGGGCACUAGGUGUGGGGGACAUUCCACGUUUUCCGCGCCGUAGCUAACGCAUUAAGUGCCCCGCCUGGGGAGUACGGCCGCAAGGCUAAAACUCAAAGGAAUUGACGGGGGCCCGCACAAGCGGCGGAGCAUGCUGAUUAAUUCGAUGCAACGCGAAGAACCUUACCAAGGCUUGACAUGCACUGGACGGCUGCAGAGAUGUGGCUUUCUUUGGACUGGUGCACAGGUGGUGCAUGGUUGUCGUCAGCUCGUGUCGUGAGAUGUUGGGUUAAGUCCCGCAACGAGCGCAACCCUCGUUCUAUGUUGCCAGCACGUGAUGGUGGGGACUCAUAGGAGACUGCCGGGGUCAACUCCGAAGGAAGGUUGGGGACGACGUCAAAUCAUCAUGCCCCUUAUGUCUUGGGCUUCAAGCAUGCUACAAUGGUCGGUACAAUGGGUUGCGAAACUGUGAGGUGGACCGAAUCCCAAAAAGCCGGCCUCA